Molecule: non-coding RNA, 73 nt
Organism: Gopherus flavomarginatus (Mexican gopher tortoise)
Lineage: Eukaryota; Metazoa; Chordata; Testudines; Testudinidae
Source: the annotation of a RefSeq genome assembly
GUUUCUGUAGUGUAGUGGUUAUCGCAUUUGCCUGACACGCAAAAGGUCCCUGGUUCAAAACCAGGUAGAAACA